Molecule: non-coding RNA, 1268 nt
Organism: Lolium perenne
Lineage: Eukaryota; Viridiplantae; Streptophyta; Magnoliopsida; Poales; Poaceae
Source: RefSeq, a predicted model, not a curated record
UCAAAUAUUGUCAAACAUUCAAACUUGUUUUAAACCUUCCCUCUCCCCUCUUUGUUUUAUUCUGAAAGUUCAGCAAAGAAAAGAGAAAUAGAGAAGCACAAACGGAAGACACAGGGAAAAGAGAAAGAAGCACUAGCCCAUCUGGUUCACUUCCUGUUUGGCCUCUUCCUCCUCUAGUUCACGCGAGAGGCGAAUGUCUGCUCACGUCACAGCACCACUAGCGCUACUUUCUCCUCCUCUUUAAUCCCCAGAAUCGAAGCCUCCUGCAAACCCUACCUCUCUUCCUCCCAGCCACGCCGCCACAUGCUUUUCCCUCCUCGAAGCAAACAGAGAAGGCAGAAAACGAGGUUCAGACCACCGAGCACACCGUCACCUCGUCGCCAUGGAGCUGCCGCUCCAGACCGCCCCUCGUCGAGCAGAAGGCACCAGGAUCUCCGCGUCGUCGUCCUCACCACCCCUGUGUGAGGAAUCGAGAUGGGACUCAGUAAUUCGAGCGCAAGGUCGCCGAUUCCCCGCGCCGGUCGCCAUGAUUCUUCUUCGAUUCUAACCGCCGCUGACCUUCCCCGGCCAGUCCGAGGCCUCCAUCUCGAUCAUGAAAUUUGUCGCCGGCGACUCUCCGUGGAACCCUUGUCCCGGCGCCUACUCCACCACUUCCGUCCAGUCGGGGCGCACGCCCGAUGCCCUCUUCUCCCUGGCCGUUCGCCCUCCGUCGUCAGGGCCAUGCUCGACGCCAUCUUCUCCGAGCCGUGCGUCCCCCCUGUUAUGCAUCUCCGUCAGGUAGAGGUGUCUCGGACAGUUAACUUGUCCAAAAAUCUGCAGCGGUCUGUACCUACUGAACAUCUGAAUUUCAGAUUCCACACCCCUGGAGAUAGUUCUUUCUACGCAUGAUCCAAACAAUUCCAGCAUCGUCAAAGCAGCCCAGUGGCUACGGCCUUGAUCUUUUUCACGAUGGUAUCAGCAUCAAGUCCAAGCGUAGGUGCUGCUUCAGUGCUUCUAUUCGCCGUUACAGGCCAGCAUUUGCUUCUUCCCGGAUAGGAUCGCGAAGUGGUGUUGUGAGAUACGACGAGUUCUCCGGAUGUCCCUCGGCAAGCUUUAACAGGCAAGCAUUUCCCCUAUACUUCUGCCCCUGCAGAAGUCGCUCACCUAUUUUAUUUUGCCUUCUCCCUCAUGCUAUCCUUGAGUUGCGUUCUUGUCACGUGUCCCUUCCACUUGUUACCUCAAGCAGCCUAUAUUGCCUCCACCAACCACCUACAGCUAUUGCUUGGUUA